AUAACCCAGUAGAGUAUACGAAAAUAGAAAAAUCGAAAAAUCGCCAUUGAACUGCAAACAAGUAAAAAAAGAUCAUCCCUUAAUAGAACUCCAAAAAUCUCCAUAGCCGCAAGCUGAAGGAAGGAGCCAAACAAGAAUUAUUAUCGGAGAACAAACAAAUGCCUUACAGAGCAGUCAUGGAGGUGGAGCCUCCGAGUCCGUUGAGAUACAUAAUAGGAGCCACGAUAAUGAUGAUAGGAGUAGUGUUACCUGUGGGUUACAUGAUGUUUCGUAACAAGCGUGUUCCUUCUUCUUCUUCUUACUCCAAACAGACGUAGGAACAAAGUUUUGAUAUAGAGGGAUAGGAACAAACGGCUCUUGGAUAUGAUUAAUGCCCAGUUGAGUUUGAAGAAAAUGCAAAAACAGGGUGGUAGCUCUCUUGACUGAUGUGAAAAUACAAAAUGUAAAUGUGCUGAAACUCCAAUUUUGUUAUAUUGUUUGUUUGGAAACUCUACAUUGAGCUUAUAAAGUGUAUGGUUUUACUUAGAACUGCACUUUUUGUUAUAUUUGUACUUGAGAAUUCUAGUUACAUGAUAUAUGCGGUUUGAUUCAA
This is an RNA transcript of Mercurialis annua (annual mercury), 592 nucleotides long. RefSeq lists it as uncharacterized. The transcript is spliced from 3 exons. The record is from RefSeq and is a predicted model, not a curated record. Lineage: Eukaryota; Viridiplantae; Streptophyta; Magnoliopsida; Malpighiales; Euphorbiaceae.